CUAGCGAGCUGCCAUCUGCUGUGUUGUAAUUACAUCCCAGACAGGAUGCUAAAAGCCUCAGAAACGUUGAAUAUGUUGUCCCCCUGCAGCUGUGGGAAAAGUGCUUCAUCUGAGCCGGGGAGCCCAUGGAACAAAGGCUCGGUGUCCUGCCUUCAAGCUAUCUCCAGUGAAACCCCGAGCAUGAUUGCAGAGCUGGCAGUGACUUCAAAGAUUCCCCACAGAGGAAAGGCCCCCACGGCAUCCAGAUGAAAUAUGCGGUUCGUUCACCAUAAAUGCCUGAAGAAAUGGAUCAAGACAAAAAUCCAGUCAGGUCGGUAUAGCUAAAGGUGAUAAUGUGACUUUGCAACAGUCUUGACAGAUCAGCAACACUGAUAAGAAAAAAACAAAUAUGUUGAUGAACAGUUUAAUUAGGGUAAUCAGAGAUCAUAACUGAAAUAUUUAGGCACACCGUAUCCAUUUUUCUACGGUCAGAGCUCUAUGUUGUCCACCUUUAUAAGGAGAUGCUAACAUUGGGCCCAGAUACAUUUGACUGGGAUUAUCACAGAAGACAUAGCCAGCAGCAACAGGAGGUGAACUUACACAGAAUCACCAAAAUGGACAAAAUAAAAAAUAUUCCUGGAAAAAUAAUCUUUUGCAUCCGGAUCCUCUCCUACAAUUGUUCUUUAUGUUAUUGCUAUUGGAGGUUUUUAACUUCCCAAUCAAGGUAUAAGCCAGGGUAACUAAACGUUCUUUAAGCAUAUUAUUGUGUAAUAUUGCAUGUAAUGUGUGAUGUGGAUUGACCCAACCUGGAGCAUACAAAGAGAAUAACUCAAAAUUAUCUCUGUAGCUGUCACUAUUAGCACUUGGGUAUUUGGAGGUACUUUAUACCUGCACCCAGAGUGUUGCAGUGUAUGCAUUGUGAGGCCACCGAGGCACCCUCAGAGGCUUCUGUUGAAUUAUUGCCACUAUAAAUAGAUUGAUAUUUAUCAGCAAAUGCUUUGAUAUGAUUUAUUUCAAAAUUGUCCCAUAUUAGAAAACACAUGGAGUUCAGAUACAGCAGCCCCUUCAAGUACCGCUUUGUUCAUUGGACAACAUGCACAGUAUAUGAGCAUGGCAGGAGCCAAUCAGCUUCUUUGAGUGGUUAAUUGAUAUAUUGGCUUGUCAACUUUGUCUGCUAGUUCACUCCAGAGAGUUUAAUGGAUAUGUCUGUGAUAAAAGUGUCUUUCUGGCUGUAUAUGAGGUUAUGCCUUCAUUGUAAAUAUAGGAUUAGUGAGUGUUUUAAUAUGUGUAACUUGACUUGCUAAAUGGCAAUAUAUGACUUAGCAAAAUUCCUGUAGUUGAUUCUUUUAACUGCUAUUUCUCAUAUUUGGAAAAUAUUAGUUUCAUUGUAACUGUGCAUUAACAUGUAUUGCAAUCUUUAAUUAAUUAUUGAAUCUUUAUGUACUCAGUUCUCGUUUGAGUAUAAGUAUUGAUACCCUGUGGACAACGUUUUAUAGAACUUUCAGUGCAGCUAAUUUACUGUGUAAUUUACUAGUGUUCUGUUAUACAGUAUUAUAGUUCAUUAUUGUAAUAUUCUUGCAAAUAUUAAUGUUUUUGCAAAAUGUCAGUUGCUGUAAUAAGGCUGUGAGAGAUCUAGAAAAUAAUGUAUACAGACAGGUCAACGUUUUCAGUGUAUUGUCACAAUUUCAAAAAUAUGUUUUUUGCUAUAAAGACUGUACAAUUAAAAUAACCUUGACAUAUUUCAGUCAUAAAUAAUUAUAUGAUAGAAUUUAACUACUUUAGGAACUGUAGUGAUUUAUUCUUUUGGCACUAUUUCAUCACAUAUUCAACACACAUCUAACCAAAGUGCAUAGUUCAUGUUCAGCAUCAACAUGUAAAACCAGGAAACAAACUUAACAGUAACAGCAUAAAGCAGUAUUCAGUGGAUGAGUGUUAUCAAAAUUCAAGUUGAUGUUAGAGGGCAACUGGUUCC
This is a long non-coding RNA of Thunnus maccoyii (southern bluefin tuna), 1951 nucleotides long. RefSeq lists it as uncharacterized. The record is from RefSeq and is a predicted model, not a curated record. Lineage: Eukaryota; Metazoa; Chordata; Actinopteri; Scombriformes; Scombridae. The transcript has 3 exons.